Molecule: long non-coding RNA, 1428 nt
Filed under: Prunus dulcis (almond)
Lineage: Eukaryota; Viridiplantae; Streptophyta; Magnoliopsida; Rosales; Rosaceae
Description: sRNA ncRNA
Source: RNAcentral
CGAAAAGAAGUCAAGAUCAUAGCGCAGAGCCCCAUUUAUGUGCUCAUUCAUACCCACAUCCACUUGCAACCGUGGUAUAGCACGCCACGCAUGCACACUAAAGAAGGAUGCCUCUGUUACCAAGCGCACUCGGCCCACUUGAUUAAUUUAUAGGAGAUAGAUGCAAGAAAUGACGUCAUUAAGUAUAGGUGUAAUAUCGAUACCAAAAAAAUAUAUGAACUGGAAUUUGAUGAAUUGGUUGGGUUUCGAUUCAAAGCAAGUUUUUUUUAUUUUAUAUUUUGGUUUUUCAGAUUGAAAGGUGACAAAUGUAUUGGAUUAUUUUCUAUAAAUUGUGACUUCAAAAAUGAUAUGCUACGUAGUUAUAUCCCUAAUAUUAUUCACCAAACUGCAAAUGAUUUUAUGGAGGUUGAGUGCCUUGAAGAAUAUUAAACUUUUGACGUGUACCUUCUGCCAUCUUUUACGCGUCUCUUAUUUUAGCAGAAUUGCAGAAAGCAACUUCUUGAUAUCCUUCCAAAGAUCUAGCCAUAAAAUUGCGUCAACAAGAGAAAUAAAUGAUUUAGUUUAACUCCUUCCAAGUUCCAAAGGUAGCAAACAAGAUUGAAGUCAUUGAACUACAAAAAUCUGUUCAUUUGUUUCGAUACAAAUUCACACAAAAAACACCCCAAAAAUAAAUAAAUAAAACUACAUAAUCAGCACAGAAGAAUUCAGUAAAAUUUCAAUCUGUUUUGCCUCUUGAUCAUACUCCUCUGCCUCCAGCUCCCACUCUUCAGCUAUUGUCUCCAAUUCAGGACAAGUUGAAGUCUUGUUGGGAGAUAUCAGAAGGGCAGGAGCAACCUCAACCCAAGACGCCAACAAUCCCAUCUCCUUUGCCAUUGAAAUCAAACAAAACAAAAACCCUUCUUUCUUCUUUCCUUCUCUGAUCAGCUGCUUCGAAGCUUGAAGAUGAACAAGAAGUUGCUCUCAAAACAAACAAAAAGGGCUUCUGUUGCAGAUUCUUGAUUUGGGUUUUGUUUCUAGAAACAGUUUCAGUCUGUGAGAAUGAUUUGGGUUGAAGGUAAAGUAGAAGAAGGUGGCUUUUUAUAGGGAGUUCAAGAAUCAUAUGAUAUUGGUGAGAAAAAUGAGUGAAGGAAACUACACCAGCAGCUGCACAAAAAAGUUACAAGGCAUGUGAGGAACAUGGAAAAUGAGAAUAAAUAAAUAAUUGUGACACGUUUGAUAGCUAUGAUGGCAAAUUUUUCUAGCAACGCCAAGUGUUCGAUCUACGUUGAAUCUUAUUAAUGUCCAAAGCUCCCAUCCCAUCCAAUCUAUGGUGACUGCCCACCAAAUUGCUUAAAUUCUGCAAUACACUACAAGAAAGUACCUAAAAUCCCAAUCAUUUUUGGCUCUUCUAUUUUUCACAAAAACGUAAAUUUUCAACAUCCUCCUCAC